This 203-nucleotide small nuclear RNA is filed under the name Oncorhynchus tshawytscha (Chinook salmon). Its description in RNAcentral is "U2 spliceosomal RNA". It matches the Rfam family "U2 spliceosomal RNA". Rfam says of the family: U2 is a small nuclear RNA (snRNA) component of the spliceosome (involved in pre-mRNA splicing). Lineage: Eukaryota; Metazoa; Chordata; Actinopteri; Salmoniformes; Salmonidae. The record is from Rfam by way of RNAcentral.
AGAGCUUCUCGGACCUUUUGGCAAGAUAAAACAAGUGUAAGUAGCUGUUCUUAUUCAGUUUUAAUAUCUGAUACACGACGGAUCCCCUAUCUGGGACCAAUAGUAAAUUGAUUUUGGAACAGGGAGAAUGGAAUAGGGGCUUGCUCCUCCCUCCAACUCAUCGACCUGGUAUUGCAGUAACCCUCAGGAACGUUGCACCCCCU